GAGGUGUGGUGAGGUUGUUUUCGGAAAGAGAUAGUUAUGCUAUGAUGAAGGAAAAUGUGUAUGAAGGAGAAUUGGUGGUGUGGGACUCAUUCCCCAAGUGGUUCUUUAUAGUGCCCAUGAGUGAAAAAUGAACGGCUAGGGUGGUUUGUGAAGGGUGGCUUGAUGGUAAAUAUAUGAAUUGUAGAUAAGGACGAUUGGCUUUUCAUUUUCUUGGAAGUAUUCUGGAUGCAUUAGGUUGUACAUGUAGCUUUCUUUUCUUGCAGAACUUCCUUUUCCCAUGUGUUAGUUUCAAAGAUUUGUGAAUUUUCUUUUUGACCAAGCACGUACCUCCCUUUGUCUUUUUCCUCCAUUUUUGUCUUUUCUUUUGUACCUGCACAAACAAACAAAUUUGCUAUCAUUUUUCGGUCCAUGUGAAUUAUGAAUA
This 424-nucleotide long non-coding RNA is filed under the name Arachis ipaensis. Its description in RNAcentral is "long non-coding RNA (AIPA_LNC002238)". The record is from RNAcentral. Lineage: Eukaryota; Viridiplantae; Streptophyta; Magnoliopsida; Fabales; Fabaceae.